Colius striatus (speckled mousebird) is the source of this 1159-nucleotide long non-coding RNA. RefSeq lists it as uncharacterized. The transcript has 3 exons. The record is from RefSeq and is a predicted model, not a curated record. Lineage: Eukaryota; Metazoa; Chordata; Aves; Coliiformes; Coliidae.
GGAAAGCGCCGCCCUCGCUAUAAGGUCGCCGCGCCGCCUAAAGGGUCUACGGCCUGUGCAAAGGAGACCCACCACCUCCUUGCUGACUGAAGAGAGCCCUCUGCUCCUUGGAGCACUCUUUCAGUAGAUGGGAAAUCAAAUUCCUCUUCCUGCUCAAACUGGAAAGAGCAGCAGCCUGACCUGACUGCGGUGAGAGUUCAGUUACUGGGAGUGGGCCUGGGUCUCCUGCUGUCUAACCCCAAACUCUGCUGUUAUUAAGGCUUCCUUUGCUCUCUGGGUGGAAUUGAGUGGCUGGAGCUUUACAGAAAGUACCUGCAAACCGGUGGAGCCAGAUUUCUAAAGUGUGGUUUGUGGCUCAACCCCUCCCCUUGUCCCAGCUAAAAUUAUCUCCAGCUUCAGAAGAGCUUUGCCUCACAUCUGAGAGCAUAAAGGGCUUCCAGUGCUGCCUGACGCUUGGCAGCUCUCGUGGCCCAAAAGGCAAGACUCCAGGAUCAGGGAACAGGUGAAGAAUUGCUUUGCCUCUGCCAUCAGACAGCUGUGUCCCUCAGCAGCCUGGACUGUCACAGGCCAAGUCCUGCACUGCUGCUUCAUCCCAGGGGCUCCAAAACCUGUAAACAGUCCCACAGAGGAGGUGAAACCAGGACAUGGGACAUGCUUGGUCUUCCAGUUCCCUCUGAUGAGUGUUCUUGGUCUGUGUUUGCGGGGGGAACUCUGCCCCAGAGAGGUUUCACUGGCUGGACUGUGUGUUUGAUGUGAGUGGGGUUAUCUCUGUGUCCCCAGGGCAGCAGGGGGGACACCCUGCAACCCUGUGCUCCCCAAGGGCCUUGCCAAUGCUCACUGGCUUCCUCUGGGAGAGAGGGAAGGGGGGUUAUGGAGGAGUGCAAGGGAGAGCAGGUUCAAUGUGAGCAUGAAACCUGUCUGGGUGGGGAAAUCUCGUACCAAGUCUGCUGCUUAUUCAGGUGACUUGGCCAUGGCCUCAGGUUGCACCAGGGGAGGUUUAGAUUGGAGCUGAGGAAGAACUUCUUCCCUGAGAGGGUUGUCAGCCCCUGUCCCAGGCUGCCCAGGGAGGUGGAGGAGUUCCCCAUCCCCAGAGCUAUUGCAAAGCUGUGGAGCUGAGGUGCUGAGGGCCAUGGGUUAGUGGUGGGCUGGGCAGGGUGAG